This 101-nucleotide ribosomal RNA is filed under the name Staphylococcus haemolyticus. RNAcentral describes it as "partial 23S ribosomal RNA". It matches the Rfam family "Bacterial large subunit ribosomal RNA", at positions 2824 to 2925 of the family's 2925-position model. Lineage: Bacteria; Bacillati; Bacillota; Bacilli; Caryophanales; Staphylococcaceae. The record is from RNAcentral.
GGUUAUAAGAUCCCUCAAAGAUGAUGAGGUUAAUAGGUUCGAGGUGGAAGCGUGGUGACACGUGGAGCUGACGAAUACUAAUCGAUCGAAGACUUAAUCAA